This 374-nucleotide ribosomal RNA is filed under the name Boophis obscurus. RNAcentral's name for it is "partial 16S ribosomal RNA". It matches the Rfam family "Bacterial large subunit ribosomal RNA", at positions 1972 to 2512 of the family's 2925-position model. Lineage: Eukaryota; Metazoa; Chordata; Amphibia; Anura; Mantellidae. The record is from RNAcentral.
UUCUUUAAAUGAGGACUAGUAUCAAUGGCAUCACGAGGAUCCUACUGUCUCCCCCCUCUAAUCAGUGAAACUGAUCUCUCCGUGAAGAAGCGGGGAUAUACAUAUAAGACGAGAAGACCCCAUGGAGCUUUAAACCCGACAGCACCCGCUUAUUUUAAGCCCAAUUAUACGCCCGUACCUGUCUGCUCGGUUUUAGGUUGGGGUGACCACGGAGUAUAAAGUAACCUCCAUGAAGAAAGGGGUAAGUACCCUUAUUAGAGAAAAACACUUCCAAAAACUAACAAAUUAAUUUUUAAUGAUCCGAUAUUCGAUCAACGAACCAAGUUACCCUGGGGAUAACAGCGCAAUCCACCUCGAGAGCUCCUAUCGACAGG